GACGAACGCUGGCGGCGUGCUUAACACAUGCAAGUCGAGCGGUAAGGCCUUUCGGGGUACACGAGCGGCGAACGGGUGAGUAACACGUGGGUGAUCUGCCCUGCACUUCGGGAUAAGCCUGGGAAACUGGGUCUAAUACCGGAUAUGACCUCCUAUCGCAUGGUGGGUGGUGGAAAGAUUUAUCGGUGCAGGAUGGGCCCGCGGCCUAUCAGCUUGUUGGUGGGGUAAUGGCCUACCAAG
Molecule: ribosomal RNA, 240 nt
Filed under: Rhodococcus sp. (in: high G+C Gram-positive bacteria)
Lineage: Bacteria; Bacillati; Actinomycetota; Actinomycetes; Mycobacteriales; Nocardiaceae
Description: Rhodococcus sp. partial 16S ribosomal RNA
Rfam family: Bacterial small subunit ribosomal RNA
Source: RNAcentral